GAGAUUGGCAGAUUUGGAAGCCACUUCUGUUGGCUUCAAAUGGGUUUUCAUUGCCUUUGAUCAGCAGAAAGGACAGAAAAAACUAGGGUUUCCAUUGCCUUUGAUCAGUAGAAAGGACAGAAAAAACAAUGGGCUUCACAGCAUUCACACCAUCCACAGCAGCCAACAACGUCAACUCAUCUUUCCCUUCUUCAUUAUGGAUCCCUUCUUCCCAUUUAUCCAUCUCCAAGAAGCCCAUCUCGGAUUGCAGUGCUUUUUCUUCAAGGGACAACUCUUUUAUGAGGGGUCAGUUUCAGAGCAGGCACUUGCUUGGGUGCUGUUCCAGACGAGUGCAGAGUAGAAGAGCAGGAAUUUUGGUUUUGCCGAGCUGUGUCUUUCCAUUAACUGAAGAAAAUGUUGAGAAGGUCUUGGAUGAGGUGCGACCUGGGUUAAUGGCUGAUGGAGGAAAUGUGGCUCUACAUGAGAUUGAUGGCCUUGUUGUGGUACUAAAGCUACAAGGAGCAUGUGGGUCUUGUCCAAGCUCAACAAUGACACUAAAGAUGGGAAUUGAAACUAGACUUCGUGACAAGAUCCCAGAAAUUGAGGCAGUGGAACAAAUCCUCGACACAGAGACUGGCCUGGAGUUAAAUGAGGAAAAUGUUGAGAAGGUUCUUGCUGAGAUUAGACCAUACCUUGCUGGCACAGGUGGUGGGGUGCUCGAGCUUGUUCAGAUCAACGAUUAUGUCGUCAAAGUUCGGCUCAGUGGACCUGCAGCUGGGGUUAUGACUGUUCGGGUGGCUCUAACACAAAAAUUGAGGGAAAAGAUACCUGCCAUUGCAGCUGUCCAGUUGAUAGAUGGAUAAAAUACUAUGAAAAAACAGUUGUACAUAUUUCGGAUGAAUCUGACUUAGUUCACAUUCAAUAUGUAAGAAAAAGAGCAAUGUAAGUAUUGAGCAUCCAUGUAGGGUCCAUGCUAUUUCGAUGUGGUCUAGAAGAAACACAAUGGAAUUCCUGUUUGAACUAUGUUUAUCAAUUUGGUUGUACUUGGAGCUCGUGAUAGCAGAGGCCAGGUACCAUGUAUGCGUACAGAAACACAUAGUUCCAGUAUUCUUCUCUUCCGGGUUGAUCAUUUUGUUUCUUCUUUUAUACACCACUAAAGAAUCUGAUUAGUAUGUGCUGCGAUACUUAUUUGUACUUCUCCAAUCUGAUGGAUGACAUUUCCACCUUGACCUUGUGAUCUA
Molecule: RNA transcript, 1220 nt
Organism: Vitis riparia (riverbank grape)
Lineage: Eukaryota; Viridiplantae; Streptophyta; Magnoliopsida; Vitales; Vitaceae
Gene name: nifU-like protein 3, chloroplastic
Exons: 6
Source: RefSeq, a predicted model, not a curated record